RNAcentral lists this non-coding RNA (627 nucleotides) under Calypte anna (Anna's hummingbird). Its description in RNAcentral is "Eukaryotic small subunit ribosomal RNA". It matches the Rfam family "Eukaryotic small subunit ribosomal RNA", at positions 1180 to 1823 of the family's 1831-position model. The record is from Rfam by way of RNAcentral. Lineage: Eukaryota; Metazoa; Chordata; Aves; Apodiformes; Trochilidae.
AGAAUGUUUAUACAAUGACCUUUCAUAACUGAAGCAAUUUUUAAUCUUUUCUGUAUGAUAAUGAUUUAAUACAUGGGAUUCCUCACUUAGUCUAGAUUGAUGGGAUUGACAGACUGAGAGCUCUCUCUCUGUUCCAUGGGUGGUGGCAGCACAUGGCCAUUCUUAGUUGGUGGAAGCUAUUUGUCUGGUUAAUUCCAAUAACAAACAAGGCUCUGGCAUGCUAACCAGUUAUGUGACCCCCGAGUGGACAGUGUCCAACUUCUUAGAGGGACAACUGGCAUUCAGCCACCCAAGAUUGAGCAAUAACAGGGCUGUGAUGCCCUUAAAUGUCUGGGGCCACAUGCUCUAGACCGAGUGGCUCAGUUUGUGCCAACCUCCACCAGCAGGCAGAGGUAACCCAUUGGAAAGCAUUUGUGAUGGGGAUCAGGGACUGGAAUUCUUCCUUGUAACAAGGAACUCCCAGUAAGUGGAUGUCACAAGCUCACACUGAAAAGUUCCUCCCUGCCCACUGUGCACACUGCUCAUCACCAACUUGGUGGUUUAGUGAGUGUGGAGAAGGCAAACAAACUUGAUUAACUAGAGGAAGUAAAAGUUGUAACAAGGUUUCUGCAGGAGAACCUUUGGAAU